UGCUGAGUAUUGUGUUUGGUGGGAGAGAAAAAUCCUUGGUAAGUUAAGCAUCAGAUGAAAAAUUAUUUGUUAUUCGUUUGUGUGCAGACUCUGCCAUGGUAAGAUAGUAUUUAUCAAAAUCAGCUGCAGAGUCUGCCACAAAAGAAUACCAAAGAGUUUUUCUGCUUUAAUGUUUUGCUUGGAUGAGCUUGGUUGGAUUUGAAGGUUCUUAUUUGCCCUUCUCAUUCACUGUGGUUUUAUUGUUUUGGUGUUUGUUUAUGGUUGCAUAAUUGACAUCAAUAGUUUCUUCUUUUAAAUCUUACAAUAAUUGAAUCAUUUUCAUUGAUGGUUUAAGACUUUAAGCCUUUCUCUUUUGUUGGUUGAUCAUAUUUAUCCUCCAAUACAAGAUCUUACUUUUUAAUACAAUAUGUGAAGCUCAAUUUGCUUUAUAUAGUUUCUGGGUUGAUUUCCAUUUCCUGCUAUUGAAAAGGUAGGAAUUGACCAAUAUGUUUAAUCAUAGAAAUGUUUGCUUUCUAGGUUGAUUUAUAUUUUGGUUACUGAAUGAUAGGAAGAAAAUGAAAAUUUUGAUCUGGGAUUAACAAAUUUAGUUGAUCAUAAACAUGUUUAGCUUUUCAGAACUCCUAAGCAAAUGUUAACAUAUUACUAUUAUAUAUCAAGUUAUAACCUUCCUAUUGGCCUUCAUCCUCUAAAAUAUCAGCACUUUUUACAGGCAAAGAAUUACUUGUUACUACUAUAAUCUUUUGAUAUAUUGCCACGAUUGUUUAAUAUGAACCAGUACAUGUCCACCUUUAAUUUCCUUAUAGGCUUCAGAAGAUGAAGAAAUUGGCCUUGAAGUUCGUGUAAAAGAGUGCAAAAGAGCUAGGGAAGCUAGAAUCCUUUAAUACAUAUCUCAGUUUUUCUUUAACAGAAUUAUUUCUUCAUUUCUGGAAUGUUGCUUAGCAAUAUCAUUUGCAAUUUGACAUUUUUAAUUAAGUUAGAAUUUUGACAUUUUGACCUUUCCUUUCAGAAUAUGAUAUAUUUUAAAUAACAUUAUUGGAUAAAUAAGCUCCAAAGAUAUGUACGUGCUGCUAGAAGUAAAAAUUUUGAUUCACAUAUGAGACAUGAGUAGAAUAAUAGUUUUGUUCAGGGAUCCCUUAUCCAUAUUCAUGUUCUUUCCUUCUCAUUUCAUUGGUAAGAAUUCUUAUUAUUUCUAAGUGCAACGUCUGUUGAGUCAUGUUCAAAUGAGCUGGUCUUUAUAUAAAAGAAUUUUAUCAGGGAGACUUAAAUGACCCGUUGCUUGGGCUAUGAAGUGUCUUAA
This 1297-nucleotide long non-coding RNA is filed under the name Lupinus angustifolius (narrow-leaved blue lupine). Its description in RNAcentral is "long non-coding RNA (LANG_LNC001260)". The record is from RNAcentral. Lineage: Eukaryota; Viridiplantae; Streptophyta; Magnoliopsida; Fabales; Fabaceae.